Long non-coding RNA from Oncorhynchus tshawytscha (Chinook salmon), 1252 nucleotides. NCBI's taxonomy places the organism in Eukaryota, Metazoa, Chordata, Actinopteri, Salmoniformes, Salmonidae. The record is from Ensembl.
CUUUAAGGUGUAGGCUGCUACAAAAUAUGUUCCACACCCGACCCACAUGACCUGUGAUUUCCGUGAAUCUGAUUGGUCAAGGAGGUGGCACCACAGGUCCCAGAGUGUUUUUUUCUUCUCCUGCUCUCGUGAUUUAUAUUUUACUGAAAACAACAACACUGGACCGACAAGUUCUGGCAUUUCUGCGUGUUAACAACUAUCGGGUAAGCGACCAUAAUCUUAUGCAACUAUAAAAUACUGCUGAUUUGGCUGAUGGGAAAGUGCCUUUCAGACCUUAAUGUCAAUCUCUGUGUGUAGGGUAUGACAGUGAUUAAUCAGUUGCAGAAUGGUUUUAUAUGGGCUAUGGUGGCCUUUUCUAAUCAGGUCACACAGAUUUAAACUCCUGGAAAAACUCCUGGCUCUAUAGGGAGGAUGAAAACCCUGUCAUACUGCAGCAACCUUUCUCAUAUGAAUUAUAUAUUAAAACUGGAAUAACAGGGGAGUUUUCCUUACACAGACACAGAGACAACUGUGAAUAGACAAUACAACUAACAGGACAGAGUUUGUUUUAUGCAGUGUUGCAUCAUGUAGGCCCAGGGAUAGAAAUGGCCUGUGUCCAAAAUCCUUCAAUUCCAUUCCUGUGUAUUCAUACCACUUGACUUAUUCCACAUUUUGUUGUGUUCUAGUCUUAAUUCAAAAUGUAUUACAUUUGUUUUUUCUUCACCCAUCGACACAGACUACCCCAUAGUGAAAAUAGUUUUUACAUACGUUUUCACACCCCUGAGUCAAUACUUUGUAGAAGCAACUUUGGCAGCGAUUGCAGCUGUGAGUAUCUCUGGGUAAGUCUCUAAGAGCUUUCCACACCUGGAUUGUACAUCAUUUACCUAUUAUUCUUUUCAAAACGCUUAAAGCUCUGUCAAAUGUGUUGUUGAUCAUUGCUAGACUAUUUUCAAGUUUUGUCAAUGAUUUUCUAGCAGAUAUAAGUCAAAGCUGUAACUCGGCCACUCAGGAACAUUCACUGUCUUCUUGGUAAGAAAAUCCAGUGUUGAUUUGUCCUUGAAUUUUAGGCUAUUGUCCAGCUGAAAAUAAAAUUCAUCUCCCAUUGUCUGGUGGAAAGCCUGUGCUGUGCUAAAUUUUGUUGAAUUAGUUUAUCCCGAAAACUCCCCAGUCCUUAACGAUGACAAGCAUACCCAUAACAUGAUGCAACCACCAUUAUGCUUGAAAAUAUAUAGAGUGGUACUCAGUAAUGUGUUGUAUUGGAUUUGCCCCAAAU